This 520-nucleotide ribosomal RNA is filed under the name uncultured Glomeromycotina. Its description in RNAcentral is "SSU rRNA". It matches the Rfam family "Eukaryotic small subunit ribosomal RNA", at positions 569 to 1090 of the family's 1831-position model. The record is from RNAcentral. Lineage: Eukaryota; Fungi; Glomeromycota.
AGCAGCCGCGGUAAUUCCAGCUCCAAUAGCGUAUAUUAAAGUUGUUGCAGUUAAAAAGCUCGUAGUUGAAUUUCGGGGUUAGUAGGUUGGUCGUGCCACUGGUAUGUACUGGUUCUACUGAUCCCUCCUUCUUGUAGAACCGUAAUGCCAUUCACUUGGUGUUGCGGGGAAACAGGACUGUUACUUUGAAAAAAUUAGAGUGUUUAAAGCAGGCUAACGCUUGAAUACAUUAGCAUGGAAUAAUGAAAUAGGACGUUCGAUCCUAUUUUGUUGGUUUCUAGGAUUGACGUAAUGAUUAAUAGGGAUAGUUGGGGGCAUUAGUAUUCAAUUGUCAGAGGUGAAAUUCUUGGAUUUAUUGAAGACUAACUACUGCGAAAGCAUUUGCCAAGGAUGUUUUCAUUAAUCAAGAACGAAAGUUAGGGGAUCGAAGACGAUCAGAUACCGUCGUAGUCUUAACCAUAAACUAUGCCGACUAGGGAUCGGAUGAAGUUAAUUUUUUAAUGACUCAUUCGGCGCCUUA